Leopardus geoffroyi (Geoffroy's cat) is the source of this 11074-nucleotide long non-coding RNA. RefSeq lists it as uncharacterized. Lineage: Eukaryota; Metazoa; Chordata; Mammalia; Carnivora; Felidae. The transcript has 2 exons. The record is from RefSeq and is a predicted model, not a curated record.
CAAUGGAUCUUUAUAACAAGUAUUAUGUCUCUUAAACCCUACUUUAGAGGGUGAAAAUAAUCAAACACACAACUUAAUCUACGUUAAUUAUCCAAAAUGCUGAUUCCCCUUUAAACAUUUCAGACUGAUGACAUGAGGGGCUGCUAGCUGUUCCAUUGUGUUGAGUAGUGAUUCUGCUCCUUAACUGCAAUUGUCCGCCUUGAAUGUUUCACAGCUGAGAAGAGGGAGGCAUGGAGAGUCUGGAUCACUAAAGCCAACCUGCCAGGCUUGCAAGAGGCAGAGCCAGGAGGAGACCCAGGCAGCCUGACUCCAGAAGCUAUGUUCCUAACCAAAGUCACACUGGGCAACCCUGUACUUGACCACCUUAUUCUCUACAUUUUCAUCCUUGAGGCAGAAAACAAGCGAAGGCUCUUCCAGGCACACAGCUUGUCCAUGCUCAGCCUCCCUUGCAUUUAUGCUAUAAGCAGACUGGUGUGCGUUAUUGGCAGAUCUUCCCAUAGAGCCAUCCCCUCCAAUAGCUGCCUUAGUGCUGUCCACCUGCCACAAUAAGGGAGGAGGCCCUAGAAAUAGCAACAUGGACGAAUGGACAGUCUGGGCACUUCAAAGACUGAAUGGAACCCAGGUCCUUCCAUCUCCACGCCAACCCCAGUCCACAAUGUCUAACCAUCCUGGCCUGUGACCAACGUGAGAAAGAAAUCAUUAUUAUGCUAAGCAGCUGAGAUGUGGGAGUGGGUUACUUUAAUUCAACAGUGUUCGGGUCCUCUAUAAAACUGACUGGCAGUUACAAUUUAUUUGUAUGUUAUUCACUUACUGCUGUCUUCUUUGCUCAAUUGUAAGCUCUGUGAGGGCAGCGACCAAAUCUAUUUCAUCUACCACCAUAGCUAAUAGCAAAUGCCCAGCCUGCAGCAAACACUCAGUAGUAUUUGUUAAUGGAAUAUUGGGAGGGCGGGAAAUGAAGGCAACCAAGUGAUCAGGGGUCAUGGCCACAAAGUGCUCCCACUGCCAGUGACAUGGGAACUGUGCUUAAUGAAAUUUAAGUCAAGAAUCAGAAACGCUAGUGUCUUUAAGUGUAUUCUUAAAUGAAAACUUUAGGUUCAAAGGUUGUAUAUAUUCUUCCCGAAGAGAGGUAUUAAUAUAAAAUUAGAAUGCAGCACCAAAUUAUGUCCCUAGAUCUGGUAAAAGUCUACCCUGCAUGGCUCAUAGAAGGUUUGAACGGAGGGUGGGGUCCUAGAAACCCACAUUCAGGUGGGAGGCCCCUGCCCCGUAGGACCUCUCUCCUUUAACUGACUUACUGAAAACACACUGAGAAUCCUUUGAAAUGGGGCUAUGGUCUCUCCCUGCUAUCAUAGCCUCCCCAAGACGAUACACUAAAUGAAUGGAAAAGAAAAUCUUCCUGAGAACCCACCAUGGACUAGCCAUUAAUAUCAUUCACCUAAUUCCCCACAUCAAUCCUCUGGAACAAGUAAUGAAAUAAUCAUAACAAUAAUAACCAGAAAAAUAAUAAUUCCAGUUUCGACCUACUUUCUAUUAUGGACUAGGCAUAGACAAUGUCAUACAUGCUACAGACUUUAUUACAUUUAAUUAUUGCAACACAUCCAGGAAAUAAAUGCCAAGAAAUGUUAAGGUUCUGAGAUUUCACCCUACUUUUAACUAGCAAGUUAGCCUACCACAGUCUUUUGGAUGCUGGCAGAAGAUAUGCAAGCCCUGGGUCAGAGACAAAGUACCAUUUACUAUUCACAGUAAUAGCAAUAACCGGAGUCACAUCAUUUGUGCUGGUUUCUGGGGCCCCAAUUCUCACAGGGUGAUGUGAAGAAGGGCCAGAUAGAUGCUGUACACACUGUGGUUUGCAUUACAAAUGAAGGACCUUGAGUUUAGAAAACCCCAGGAUCUCACAGGGCCUGCACACAUAUACCUUCCAAGCUCUAACAUGGACGGACAUUAUUUUUAUUUUCCUGGACAGAAAACAAAUCUUUCAUCUGCUCUAUAAGAAGAAACUUGUGUCUUCCACAGUGUUCAUGAUAUAAAUAUCCUUGAAAAAACCAGUCUGGAACAAAAGCUGAAUUAAUUUGUUCACAAAACAUGCAGAAAUGUGACAGACCCAUGGAGAUUUGUUUCCUAUUUUACGAAUGUGAUAACAGGUCUAGAGUCAUUGAGUAAUUUCCCCAAUUAACUUACCAUGACUGGGAAGAAGAGAAGCAAGGAUUCCAACUCUGGUCUAACUAACUCUAAAAGCCACAUCCUAACUACCAUGCAACAUUUUUUUCUAGGUUUUCCUGAGCAGGAGACCAGGGUUUAAGGAAUUAAAGAUAAAGUCCCUCAAUGCUGAAGGAGAUUGUGAGGAAACUGAGAUUUGAGUCCACACCAUCCAACUCCAGAACUGGUGGUGUUACCAUCACACUACAGCUACUGACCAAACAAACACCAGCAUACGUGAGUUUUAGGCAAUGCAGGCAAAGUGAACACAGCCAGGCAAAGUGAACACAGCCAGGAAAGGUGUGGAGAAAACGGGAGGCACAAUUUACUCAGGUGAGGUGGGAAGGCCCCAUCAGGGUCAAAGGAGAGAGAGAGACAGAGGCAGAGAGAGAGAAGCUAAGAGGGUGUGACUGGACUGGAGCUUGAAGGUUGGUUUUUACUUUACAGUGUGUAGUUUCUGUGCAGCCAUCUAAUUCACAUGCAGAUUGUCAGUAUUGUGUUUGAUGGACAAAUCUUUUGAGAGCAGACUUGCCUCUCCCUUUCAGAUGAGUUUACCCGCUUGCACCAUCCCAUAUUACAAUUGCCCCAGCUACCCAAAAUCUUAGGCAGGAUGGCCACAACAAACAGAUCUCACCAGUCAUGGGAAUAUAGGCUCCAUCCUCGGAGGUUUGUAGGUGAUGUCUACAGGCUUUAAAAUGAAAUAAGCCAAACCUCCACAUAGGAAAAUGAGAAAAGAAUAUGAAAAGAAAACUCAUUAAAAAAAAAGACAAGACAAGACAAGGGAGAAAGGGGAAUGGCUUCUAAACCUAUAAAGAGAAGUGAGGGCCCCUGAGAGUAACUGAAACACAAAUUAAAAUCCCAUGGGGACACCAUUACUCAGCUGUCAGAUUGGCAAAAUCCAACGCUUCGACCACUCAGUCACUUUCUUGGGAUGCCAGGAAGCAGACACUCCUUAUGUUGCUACUGUUAUAAAGAGUUACUCAUUGCAGCAUUAUGCAAUGGCAAAAGAUUGGUUACAACCUAGGGGGCAAUGAAAUAACUGAUUAAGUAGAGUCCAUUCAUAUAAUGGAAUACUCUUCAGCUAGUAUUUAAAAAAAAAAUGAAGGAGCUCUUUGUGCACUCAUAUGGGAAGAUAACCAAAAUCUAUUAUUAAUGGUAAAAAAAAAAAAGCAAAUGAGUAUAUUAUGCAACAUUUUGUGCAAUAAAUGGGAGAAUGAUAGUGGUAAAAAAGAAACAUUUUAUAUUUACUUAGAUAUGCAAAUAAGGAACAAACGAUGUAUAAAAAGAGCAGAAGUACAGACAGCACAGGGUGUUAGAAAGAUGGUUUUAUGUUUACUUCAUGACUUUCCAUACCUUCUGGUUGUCUGGACCAUUUCAGUACACUUUAAAAAUUCAGUUAAAUUGCUAACACUACAAAUUUAUGAUCAAGGAUUAUCUCUUCUGCAAGAUCAAGUCUUAGGAUGGGGAAAGUUGGUCUCCUUGGAUUUCACUAGGCAGUUUCAUAAGCUUCUGGCAUUAUCGUCACUUGUGAAAACAGAAUUGAUUUCACCAUUAGAAAGCAGCAUGGAUUCUACUGCUAGACACUGGAUUUCUUUCCUCAGCAUCUUGCCUGGUUUGAAUAAGACUGUGAAAGUUCUUUCUCCUCCCUCAGUUUUCUAAGCACCUUUUGGGAAAAUCUUUCUCUGGGUCUAACUCAUCACCUGUCCUUCGUAAUACUAAUUAAGGUGCUUGAUCUGCACCCAUCCCUUCUCCCCCAAAACACCCAGAGGUGUGCUGAUAAAGGUUUAUAACCAGGUCAGUAAGGUGGCGGGGGGGGAAGGAAAGCCUUGACUUUUAGUUGAUUUCCACACUAUAAAUAUAUACCAUGGCUGUUAACAAGUCAGCAAUGUGAUGUCAUAGAGAAGCACUGUAAACAAUUAUACAGUAUUUCUACUAUACGAAUUCAAUAGAAGUAAAUGACCUCAAUCACAGAGAUAACAGUACAACGCAGUAAAAUUAUUAGGAAGUAUGAAUUUUGAGUAUUUACUUUGUUUUUAAUUUAUUGGAUUGUAAGUUUAGGUCACUUAAUUUUAACGUUCAUUUAAAAACUACCUCUCAAAUUUCCUAAAUAUUUAAGUCAGCUCUUAGGAGCUGAUACACCGGCCACUGCCAUACCCCAAAGCUCUCUUCAAGGAGGUGAACUCUUUCUGCACUGGCAUACUCUUUCUGCGCUCUGCUUACAAAGCCAACUUUGGAAAACUGAACAAGACAUCCCAUGCUAGUUGAUGGGUUAAGAGCAAAUGUUGUAAAAUAUUGAGUCCUAGAAAGUCCCAGACACUGUGGGACAUGCUUUCAGUCACGAUUUCAUUACGUCUUCACAUUAACUUUACAAAGUUUCAAAUAUUGGUUCCCGUGACAAAAUGAAGAGAGAGGCUCUUAGAAAGGAGGCACACGUAGCAUGGCAACCAAGCCACACUCACGUCUGUUCUUGAACUCACACUUUGCUGCUUGGAGAUGGCUUCAAGAGAGGGUUUAAACUGAGUCAGGCAAAGACCCCUUCCUUCCUAGGGGUCAAGGUUAGGAGAAGAACCAAAGAGAUAUACAGACUAACAGAUGGCCCUGUUCCCCAUACUCCAAGCAAACACCUUGAUACUAUUUUUGAAGAUGUUUUUGACCUUAGGUUUUCCAUAUUAAAUGUAGUCCAGAUGUCUCUCAGAAUAUUUUUCUCACUCAUGCUCUGGGUUCCUGGUUGGAAGCUUUUAGAAUCCAAACCUGAUCCACCUUUAACCCUACUUUCCUUCCUUGUCCUUGCCACUCUACCCUUUUGUCUUUCUCUAACCCAUCUCCACCAUCACCUUGCCUUCCUUGGGCUUCCUUCAGGAAUCUACAAUCUAACCAUUCUCUUUUCCAAACUAGCUCCUCAGGAAAUGAUCUCCAGUUAGCCAAAUGACUCACCUGUCUUCAAGUCAACUGCAUUUUCAAGAGCCAAAGGAAUGAGGCUUCUUAUUAAAUGGCUAAGGAGUAGUUUAUACUUGUACUUCUUUGUUUUUGUCAUCUUGUUCAUUUUUGUUUGUUUGCUUGUUUGUUUUACCUUUUGGUACAAGUGGGCAUGGAUAGGGUAGGAAGAUCUUUCUUAGACUGGUGUUUGCCAAACUUUGCCACACACUGGAACCAUCCAGGGAUCUUUAAAACACACACACACACACACACACACACACACACACACACACACUGAUGUCAGGGUUCCAUCUUGGAAUUUCUUAACUGAUAAGGGGUGGGGCCUGGACAUUGGGAUUUUUUGAAGCUGACUUCAUGAUUCUAAUGUGCAGCAAAGUUUGGCAAAUGCCAGCUAUUAAAAAUUCACCCUGUGGAUGGCUUUGCUGAGAAAGGCCACUCUCCCAAGGGCCUUCCUCAUCGAUCUGGUAUAGGACAGGUCCAUUAAUAAACACUUCAAUUAACUAAAUUUUCACUGAACCCUCUCUUUCUACCUUAGGCCUGGUGGAUUCAUGAUGUUUCAAAUUCAUGAGAUUCAAUCUGAUUUAGUUUCCCAGCACCUCCCUGCUUUCAAACAAAAUAAAACUAAACGACCUCUCCCCCAAAAGAGAUGGUUACUAAAUAGAGUGUAACUCAGCUGGCAGUGGAAAAUGUUUUUCAAUGGCUUAGUAAGUUACUCCAAUAGACACAUUUACAUGCAAAUAAUUAAUGGACAAAUUAUAAACUAUUUGUUUUUAUUCAUUAAAGCAGAACCAUGAUUUAUUAAAGCAGGAACCAAAACAAAUGCUCUUAUUGUACAAAUGAUCCGUAGUUGUUACAGAAAACUUAGAAUAUAAAAACUCAGCAUGUAUAUAAGAGAAAAAUAUCUCCAGGCUUUUCAGAAUCCAUCCAGUGGAAAAUAUGACUAAUGUAAGGUCAGUGUUAAUUCAUGAAUUCAGAAGCUUGGGAAGAAUUUACAUCUUAUGCAGCAUAUGCCCUUGGCCAAGUUGAGGUCACCCAAAGGCUUUGUUUUUCACUUGCUUUUGCAUAGGACACAGGAGCUGUGAAGCUGUAUUACCUCCAUUUCCCAGGGCAAGUGUCUUUUGUUUAUGGCCUACUGAGACAUUUAAUUAUGAAGACCUGAAUCAUUCAAUAAGAGGCAAUACCAUUCAGGUAAAUUCACCUGGGGUAUUUUCCUGAUACUAGUCUAUUGUUUUCCUUACUAAGUUUCCUUAACCAGCUUCAUUCUAGGGCCAUGGUCAGGUCUCUUUAGCACAAAGCCCAACUAGGGUCUGAGGAAUGCAUUGGCAAAUGGAUACAUUAUACAGCAAAUCUACCAAAAUGUUGAGUGUAGAAUACACUCAAUGGUUAGUCUACAAGAGUUCAUCCUACCAUUCUUUCAGUUUAUCUGUGUGCUGGAAAAUUUUCAUGAUGAAAUGCUGGGGCUGAGGAGAGUCUACAUCUUAUCCUGUUUCUAUACUCAAACUCCCACUGCUCAUGAAAUGACAGUGAUGGACAUUUCUAACUCGGUCUCAGUAAAUUUCAGCUAAAUGAGUAAUGUUGAUGAAUACCAGCUAAUUCAUAAUUAAUAAUCAAUGAACCAGACACUGUGCUAAGCUAUUUGUAUACUACAUUUCAUUAAAUUCUAUUAUUAAAUCUGUGAGGUAGAUGCUAGUAUUAUUUCUGGUUUACAAAGAAGGAAAUCAAAGCUCAGAGAGGAGAGUAACUUGCUUAAGCAAGUGACCUUUAGAAGGCUCAGUCCUCAUUCCCUGGUUUUAAUUAGUCUAUCUUUUUGGUUAAAUGAUAAUGCACAUCCAUAAAAAUACACAAAUUAUAAGGGUCCAGCUGUGAAUUAUCCUAAGGUGGGCAUAUUUGUGUAAUUAGCACCCAGAUUAGGAAAGAUAAACUCCCCAGAACCUUUAAAGCUCCCUCAUUCUCCCUCCCAAUCACUGCCCCUGUGCCUCAAGUUACCCCCUCUCCUAACUUCUAAUCAUCUAGAUUCAAUUUAUUUGUCCUUAUUCUUGCUGUAUCCAAAUUCUCAGGGAAAAGUUCUCCUUUUGCAAGUAGUAGCUUUCUCAUCCCAAAGAUUUCUGGUUAAAAAGUGAGCUGAAUAUGCCGCUACCUGAAAGUACAAGGUUUCUUUCUCAUCUGCUACCCAGGGCUUCCAGGUUGCAAAAAUAAACACUUCAAUGAAACAGAAAUGGUGGUUAGGAGUAAAGGUAUUGUGCUCCACUCCUUCACUAGUGGAGAGAUCUCCACACUCUUGGAAUUAUUUCAACACAGGAUGAUGGAGACCUACAUUUUAAUUCUGCCUCUGAUGUAUUUGUUAAUUUAAAAAGUUAACAGACACAGUGAUACAGAGCAAUAGGAAAUUGACAUGUGUCCUCAAUAUGUCGACAAUUAGGUUAGAGAUGAAAACAAAGAUAUGAGAUAAUUUUGAACAAUGCUCUUGUAAGGUUUGGACUGGUUUUCACAAGUGGGAACACAUAUAUGUUUCCUUCUUGUUAUGUACCAGGCAUAAGACUAGGCAAUUUCUUUACCUUGUUUUCAGUUAAUCCUCAUUCAUCAACUGAUCCUUCAUCCAAUAAAUAUCAUUGUGCAUUUCUUAUGUGCUAUGUGCUAAGGAUAUUGUUAUAAACAAGACACAUAACUUCUUGCGAGUCUGUAAUUUGUAGUCUGGGGCAUGCAUUCUCAACAGGCAGCAACAUUGCCCCAAAAGGGCAGGAAUUCUUGGGGGGGGCAAAAAAUUAAAUCUUACAAUAUUUUAUGACCCUUUAAGGGACCACAGGACACAAACUGACAGAAUAUCUGCGAUGUUAAAAUAUCACGGGGAGGGGACAGCACAAUUAGGAAAAAAUGUGCCAAAAAUAAUCCUUCAAGAACACUAAUGUAACACAAAUGAGAAACGCUGGUCUACAGAGAACUACAGCAAAUAGGUCAUGAGUAUUAGAAGAGCAGAGAUACAGGGACCUUUGAGAACAGGUAGCUGUGAGUUCUUGUAGGCAACAACUUGGGAGGUACCAGCAGGUACCUGAAGGGAUUCUUGGGGCAUCUGUAAUAUUCCAUUUAUAAAUAGAGAUACUGGGCUUAAUUAGGCUGACAGCUAACUAAGAUCUCCUACCUGGUAAGUGAGAGGCAAAGGUGAUUUCACAUCCAGAGCCCUCUCCACCUGAUUCCUGUCCAAGUGUGUGUAUGCUCUUUGAUCCUACCAGUGACAGAAGUAGGAUUCUAGAUCAAGUCUGUCUACUCUGGACACCAAACAGUGGACUUGCUCCCUCUUGGCUGUAAUCAACUAAGAGCUUCAUGUCAAAUUUCUUCUUAAUGUAAAUGUAGAAUCCAUACAAUUGGCUUGUAAUAGUGAAAAGCUCUGAUUUAAGGAAAACAUUAUGUCUUUUCCCAAAGAGCAGUGAGACUUAGCUUUUACUGGGUCAGCAUAAGCCCAGGGAUGAAUCUGUGCCUCUCAUUUAAAGCUAACUCAAGUGCAGCACCAGCCCAGACCUGUAUUUUAUCUUCUGUCCCUCGCAGCAAACGCUCACUGCGGCUGCAGAUUUGGUGUUGAUUUAUGGCUUCUAAAGACACAGCCAUAGAAUUUUCUUCUUCUAUUAAAUUCUAGCCAAUUCUCUCUUCACAGCUUCUUACUGAAAUUUUCCUCCAUAAAAUCCCAAGUAUAGACUUUCCAAAUUUCUGCACUGCCACAGCACUUCCAGGAUUUGAACUACUAAGUGUAACGGGCCGUUUCCCAGGCCUGUAACCUAGUGGCAAAACUGGAACCAGAGCAAUUAGCUUAAUGUGAAAACCACACACAAAGUGGCUUCAGGAUAAUACUGUCCUCCACGUUUUUUUUUUUUUUUUUUGGAACUGGCCCAUGAGCUAAGAUUUUUUCUUUGAGAACUUCCUGGCUAGCCCUAACCUAUAUCUCUGCUUUUUGAUCAACUCCCAAACUCUCCUUCUGUUGUUGCCUUUACUACCACCCAUUACCCUCUAUUCUGCCUUCUCCUCAGUUAUUGAACCAGGUGGGUGACAUAGAGGCAUUGUCAAAGGUCAUAUGGUAAGCCAUGAAAUUGAAAAAUCUGUCUCAUAUUAACCUCUCUGUUCUGAACCUUUUAUGUAAGACUGACUUCUUGACAGAGAUGUGUGUUUCCAUACUUGCUUCUGGUUUAUUCAUUCACUUAUUUGUUCAUUCAAUUAUUCAUCUGAACAAAAACUUAGAAUACUUAUUGUGUAUGUGUGCUACAGUUGAGAACCAGUCCAGAUCCCAGCCCAUCACAGAGUCUUAUUUGGGGGGAGGGGGCCUUGGAGCAAAACACAAGCAAGAAAAUAGCUAAAUUUAUUUGUAACUUGAUUGUAACUAUCUACAAAUGGCUAUGAAGGAAACUAUCAGAGGAGAAGGAGAAGGAGAAUGAUAAAGAGGGAUAAGGUCCUGCUCAAGAGAGGAUGAGACAGGAAAUGCAUCUUAGAGCAGGUGGUAUUUGAAGUUAAGACAUAAAAACAGAGAUGAAGAAAGGAAUAGGAAGGUCAAGGGAGUAUAUUCCAGGUAGAGGAAUUUGUAAGAGUAUAUUCUAGGCAGAGAGCAGUACAUGCAAAGAGCUGGUGGUAGAAACUAACUUAGAUGCUCCAGAAACUGAAACAUCAGUGUAGGAGCACAGUGAGAGACAGGCAGGCGUUCGGUAAUAGACACCUAGGCAGGUCUUGAAAGACUUUUAUUAUAGGUUGAAUUGUAUCACUCCUAAAGAUACAUAGGAGUCCUAACCUCCAGUACCUCAGAAUGUGACUGUAUUUGGAAAUAAGGCUUUUGCAAAUGUAAUCAAGUUAGGAGGAGGUCAUAUGCAAUUAGGCUGGGUUCUGUCCCAAUAUGAUCCUUUAAGAAAAGAAAAGAGAGACAGACACACAGGGAGAAUGCCAUGUGAUGAAAGAGGCAGAGACUGGAGUGAUGCAGCUAUAAGGCAAAUUAUGUGAAGGAUUUCCAGCUACUACCAGGAGCUAGAAAGAAGCAAGGAAAGAUUCCACCCAGAGACUCAGAAGGAGCAUGGCCCUGCCAGUAUCUUGAUUUAGGACUGUUAGCCUCCAGAACUAUUUUGUUGCAAGUUCUGUUGUUGUUUUAAUCCCCCAGGUAGAUGGUACUUUGUUAUGGCAAGACUGGGGAACUAAUACAACCUUGUAGAUGUCACUAAAGACUCCAGAUUUCAUUCUAAGUGACUGAAAACAGGACAGCAGCUGGGGAACACUGGAGACUUGCAGCAGCAAAGAGAGAGAAUGGUGGUGGCAUGGACUAAGAUCGGCACAGUGGAGAUGAAGAGAAAGCACUAGCUAGGCUUUGAUAUGGGAGCCAGUGUUUUUAUGUAGGAGAGUGGAAAAGACAUAGAAACUAGAAUUCCUGAAGUCACUUGGGGUAAGUUUAUAAAACAAUUCCAUAAUUUAUUCUGAUAAGUAUGAACCAUCGACUUGCUGGGAAGAUUUACACAUAAUAAACAUCUAAGAAAGUUACCAACUCUUGCUACUGUUAAUAUUACUAUAUCACAAUCCAAUGAGGGCUGGCACAAAAUCUGGCUCCAUAAUGUGUGUACCAUGUUAAAUUUAGUGUCGGGAAGUGUGUGUCCAAGUCUCCAUUCUUCUAUUUACUUUUAUAAAAAUGUUUGAAUAGGAAACUUCUGAUAUUUGACUAUUUUUGACCAAGAAAAAUUUCAAUGUCCUAUGGCUUAACCAAAUAUAUUCACACAGAAAAGAAUAUGUACAAUAUAUAAUAAAGUAUAAUAAAUGUUGAUGUUUAGCAUACUUGCCAUUUAAGGACCAGAAUAUUGCCAGACUCUUGUCUUUCUCUCAACCCCUAUCAUUGUGAUGACUAAUGCUUGGUCUUAUUUUAAAUAUGUAUAUAUUUUCCUCUUACAAAUAUAUCAACUAUUAAAAAGAAAACCACAAGCCUAAAAUGGAA